UUCGUCUCUUUUUAUCUAAUGUAAAUAUUAGUUUUCUUGGAAGAUAGCAAGAAGUUGCUGGUCUAGGCAAAAUCGAAAUUGAUUGUCAUAGUGACACAUAUUUUCAUUGCCAACUUCCUUGGGCCACAAAUUUUGUUAUUUAUUUUUUAUAAAAGGUUUUAUGGUACUUAUAAAAAAAGUUAAGUUAUUUUGUCAUAUAUUUCGAUUGGCAAUACACUUUGUGCGUGAUUGCUUAAAUACGGGUUUGACCUCUGCGGUCGCCCCUUUUCCCAGACCGCCGUCAUGAAGUGAAGAGUGCUUUAGUUCUUUUUGAAAUUCGUGUGAAUUUUACCCAUAUGGGGAUAUAAUUGACUAAAUGUGGUGAUAGUAAAUCAACUUUUUGGGCGUAAUGCUAUAAUUUGUUGUUUUGUUGAAUUUACUGGCCUUUAUGGCGAUUUAAAACCUAAUAAUUUUUCACGUGCCCUCGAACAUCGGCAAAAUAGCGGUUCUGAUUGGCAUUGGCAGGGGACAAUUUAAUUAGCAAAGCUACAUAACAUGGAUUUUGGACGGAUUUUUUUUGUACGGACCUGAUUUCUUCAUGCCACAUGGUGCUUCGUUUUGGGGUUAUGUACUCUACUGGCUCUAAUCUAGAAGGAGAUUUUAAGCAACUGUGAGCUAACGUCUAACCUAGACCACUACCAGAGCUUGGCGUAUUGUGAAGUGGAAGAGGUGAAGCUUGGAAGCCUGCAGUUUUUCUUUGACUGGGAAUUGGAUUUCUGGGAGAAUCUCGAAUCUGAAGUAGUCUGCUGUGUGUGGAGCUAGGUGACACAACAUAACAUUUUUUUUUAUUCACUUAUUUUAUUUUUAUUAUCACAACUUUUAUCUUUUGAGUUGAGAUACAUACAUAAGCUUAUUUAAAAUUUUAUUGACAUUAUUUAAUCGAUGCUAUUUUAUUAUUGAAUAUUACUGAUAUGAGUACAUAUAUAUGUGACAAGUGACUCCUGUGAGGUAAGACGCAGCCGGCUUCGUAGUACUACGAGUAUAUACUUGGGUUAUAUUAUUUAUUUUCAGACUACUCCUAAGAUGUCAAAUUUUCUCAGAUUAGCUAGUAAAUAUUAGAGUAAACUAAUAAAAGGGUAAUUUUAAGUGGGGAAGCUUCAACAGUUAGGGUUGUUAUUUUUUUUUUGCUUAGGUCAAUGUCCGUGGCGGGAUAUACCGGGCCAUGUAAAUUAUUAGUUUAAUUGAAUUGAAGCUUCAUUCCCCAAAAGGUUUGGGUGUAACAUAAUUUAUUUUAUUUUGACAACCACACUUUGAUUGUGUAUUUUUUGUGUGAUGUUGUGGUUCCUUAUUACCAACUUAAAUAAUUAUUCCUCUUAACGAUAAAUAACAUAACAUAAUUCUCUGUGAUAAUCAAGACUUAAAUAAAUUGUUAUUUUCUGUUGUUAA
Molecule: long non-coding RNA, 1425 nt
Organism: Anthonomus grandis grandis
Lineage: Eukaryota; Metazoa; Arthropoda; Insecta; Coleoptera; Curculionidae
Exons: 2
Source: RefSeq, a predicted model, not a curated record